This is a long non-coding RNA of Hordeum vulgare subsp. vulgare (domesticated barley), 205 nucleotides long. RefSeq lists it as uncharacterized. Lineage: Eukaryota; Viridiplantae; Streptophyta; Magnoliopsida; Poales; Poaceae. The transcript has 3 exons. The record is from RefSeq and is a predicted model, not a curated record.
CAGCAUCCUUACCCUCCAUCAAGUCAUUGCUCUGCAAGAUAAGAUUGGAAGAGGCCUUCAUAUCACUUGAACAUCCAUUAGUCACAAAAUUCCGUCACGAGAAGAUUGCUUAUCGUGCAAUUAAGGAUAUGGCUUGUGAGUACCAGCAGAUGCUUGAGCUUCUUAGAAAGGCCCCAUUUAUUGGCAGAUGGCGUGCUAAGCCAGG